This 353-nucleotide ribosomal RNA is filed under the name uncultured soil bacterium. RNAcentral's name for it is "bacterial SSU rRNA". It matches the Rfam family "Bacterial small subunit ribosomal RNA", at positions 512 to 863 of the family's 1533-position model. The record is from RNAcentral.
CAGCCGCGGUAAUACGUAGGGGGCUAGCGUUGUCCGGAAUCAUUGGGCGUAAAGAGCGUGUAGGCGGCUUGGUAAGUCCGCUGUGAAAGUCCAGGGCUCAACCCUGGAAUGCCAGUGGAAACUUCCGAGCUAGAGUCCGGAAGAGGCGAGUGGAAUUCCUGGUGUAGCGGUGAAAUGCGCAGAUAUCAGGAGGAACACCAAUGGCGAAGGCAGCUCGCUGGGACGGUACUGACGCUGAGACGCGAAAGCGUGGGGAGCAAACAGGAUUAGAUACCCUGGUAGUCCACGCUGUAAACGAUGGGCACUAGGUGUGGGGGGUGUCGACUCCCUCCGUGCCGACGCUAACGCAUUAA